This 657-nucleotide ribosomal RNA is filed under the name uncultured bacterium. RNAcentral describes it as "bacterial SSU rRNA". It matches the Rfam family "Bacterial small subunit ribosomal RNA", at positions 359 to 1012 of the family's 1533-position model. The record is from RNAcentral.
GGGGAUUGGACAUGGGCGAAAGCCGAUCCAGUCAUGCCGGUGAGUGAAGAAGGCCUUCGGGUUGUAAGCUCUUUCAGACGGAAAGAAUCUUCUGGGUUAAUACCCUGGGAGGAUGACGGUACCGUAAGAAGAAGCACCGGCUAACUACGUGCCAGCAGCCGCGGUAAUACGUAGGGUGCGAGCGUUAAUCGGAAUUACUGGGCGUAAAGCGUGCGCAGGCGGUUAUGUAAGACAGAUGUGAAAUCCCCGGGCUCAACCUGGGAACUGCGUUUGUGACUGCAUAACUAGAGUACGGCAGAGGGAGGUGGAAUUCCGCGUGUAGCAGUGAAAUGCGUAGAUAUGCGGAGGAACACCGAUGGCGAAGGCAGCCUCCUGGGCCAGUACUGACGCUCAUGCACGAAAGCGUGGGGAGCAAACAGGAUUAGAUACCCUGGUAGUCCACGCCCUAAACGAUGUCAACUAGUUGUUCGGUGAGGAGACUCAUUGAGUAACGCAGCUAACGCGUGAAGUUGACCGCCUGGGGAGUACGGCCGCAAGGUUAAAACUCAAAGGAAUUGACGGGGACCCGCACAAGCGGUGGAUGAUGUGGAUUACUUCGAUGCAACGCGACAAACCUUACCUACCCUUGACAUGCCAGGAACUUACCAGAGAUGGUUG